GAGUAAGACCAAGCGGCGGACGGGUGAGUAACGCGUGGGUAACCUGCCCUAUACACAUGGAUAACAUACUGAAAAGUUUACUAAUACAUGAUAAUAUAUAUUUACGGCAUCGUAGAUAUAUCAAAGUGUUAGCGGUAUAGGAUGGACCCGCGUCUGAUUAGCUAGUUGGUGAGAUAACUGCCCACCAAGGCGACGAUCAGUAGCCGACCUGAGAGGGUGAUCGGCCACAUUGGAACUGAGACACGGUCCAAACUCCUACGGGAGGCAGCAGUGGGGAAUAUUGCACAAUGGGCGCAAGCCUGAUGCAGCAACGCCGCGUGAACGAUGAAGGUCUUCGGAUCGUAAAGUUCUGUUGCAGGGGAAGAUAAUGACGGUACCCUGUGAGGAAGCCCCGGCUAACUACGUGCCAGCAGCCGCGGUAAUACGUAGGGGGCUAGCGUUAUCCGGAUUUACUGGGCGUAAAGGGUGCGUAGGUGGUCUUUCAAGUCGGUGGUUAAAGGCUACGGCUCAACCGUAGUUAGCCUCCGAAACUGGAAGACUUGAGUGCAGGAGAGGAAAGUGGAAUUCCCAGUGUAGCGGUGAAAUGCGUAGAUAUUGGGAGGAACACCAGUAGCGAAGGCGGCUUUCUGGACUGCAACUGACACUGAGGCACGAAAGCGUGGGUAACAAACAGGAUUAGAUACCCUGGUAGUCCACGCUGUAAACGAUGAGUACUAGGUGUCGGGGGUUACCCCCCUCGGUGCCGCAGCUAACGCAUUAAGUACUCCGCCUGGGGAGUACGCACGCAAGUGUGAAACUCAAAGGAAUUGACGGGGACCCGCACAAGUAGCGGAGCAUGUGGUUUAAUUCGAAGCAACGCGAAGAACCUUACCUAAGCUUGACAUCCCUUAGACCGGUGUUUAAUCACACCUUCCCUUCGGGGCUGAGGUGACAGGUGGUGCAUGGUUGUCGUCAGCUCGUGUCGUGAGAUGUUGGGUUAAGUCCCGCAACGAGCGCAACCCUUGUCUUUAGUUGCCAGCAUUCAGUUGGGCACUCUAGAGAGACUGCCAGGGAUAACCUGGAGGAAGGUGGGGAUGACGUCAAAUCAUCAUGCCCCUUAUGCUUAGGGCUACACACGUGCUACAAUGGGUGGUACAGAGGGUUGCCAAACCGUGAGGUGGAGCUAAUCCCUUAAAGCCAUUCUCAGUUCGGAUUGUAGGCUGAAACUCGCCUACAUGAAGCUGGAGCUACUAGUAAUCGCAGAUCAGAAUGUUGCGGUGAAUGCGUUCCCGGGUCU
RNAcentral lists this ribosomal RNA (1276 nucleotides) under uncultured bacterium. Its description in RNAcentral is "bacterial SSU rRNA". It matches the Rfam family "Bacterial small subunit ribosomal RNA", at positions 83 to 1381 of the family's 1533-position model. The record is from RNAcentral.